Aedes aegypti (yellow fever mosquito) is the source of this 74-nucleotide non-coding RNA. Lineage: Eukaryota; Metazoa; Arthropoda; Insecta; Diptera; Culicidae. The record is from Rfam.
CCUCUCAUGGCGUAGUGGUUAACGCGCCCAAAUAGAGAAUCGGGGAGUCGUGAGUUCGAUUCUCACUGAGAAGA